Molecule: long non-coding RNA, 1156 nt
Filed under: Ananas comosus (pineapple)
Lineage: Eukaryota; Viridiplantae; Streptophyta; Magnoliopsida; Poales; Bromeliaceae
Description: long non-coding RNA (ACOM_LNC004086)
Source: RNAcentral
AAACAAUAUAUUUAAAUUUUGAAAUUUACAAAUCACUAAAUGGCUCAAAUCAAAUAAAUUAAAAGAAUAGAUAGUAAAAACAAAUUUUUUUUAAGAUUAAAUAGUUAGAUCAAAAUAGAUCAUAGGUCAGAUAUAUAUACAUUUCUCAAUAUACUAUCAAACCUUCCCUCAAAUUACCAAUCACAAUAAGGGCAUGCUUGGUAUUAGGACACAUUUAACACUAAUAGAUGAAAUAAAAUUAGGGCGAAAUCAUAUAGAGAUAUAUUUCUAUAUUUUUCGCUGAAACAAUAUAAAAUAUGCUGUAACUGAUCACUUAAUGCAAUAUGUGCGACACGAUAUUACGUACAAAAAUUUAUCAUACUAUUUUACCGCAUGCAACAUAAUUUUUUUCGUAAUCCCAAAUGAAGGGUGCAUUUGGUUCGCGUUAUUUUUUAAAGAUUCCUACUAAUCUAAUAGGAAUAAAAAAAAUUGACGGUAUUUGGCUAAACGCACAAAGUAAUCUAAUUGGUAAUAUUGGAUUCACUUGGGAAUAAGAUUCACCCCAAAGUACUAAUCUCAUUCCUUUGAGGGAGAGUGGGUAUCCUCAUAUUAAUGGAUUAAGGUAAUCAUAAUAUGUCUAAUCUCUUUCUUUCUUCUUACCCGCCGGCUAAUUGAUAUUAUUUUUCUUUACACUCUAACCUUAUAUCUCUCUCUAAACUUAUUUUUCUCUCUAAAAUUCAACUUUUUUUUCUCUCUCUAAACUAAGCUUUCUCUCUCUCUCUUUCUAAAAUUUCAACUCUCUCACUCCCUCUAGUUUCGACUAUAUUUUUCUUUCUAUUUUUUUAAUUAUGCUCUCUCUCUCUAACUUAUGCUCUCUCUCUCCAUUUUUUCUAAAAAGAUAUUGAAACUUUUGGUAACAUUAUCUAAAAUUAAAUAAAUAAAUAAAUAAAUAAAUAGUAUAUUUUUUGUAAUAUUAAAUAACAUGGCUAAUUAAUGUUACCGUACAAACCAAACACAGAAAUUCUACAUUCUUAGUAAUAGGAUGAAUAGGAAUAAGAUUUUUGGAUAUCUUUUAUUCCUAAUAAUAUUUCAUAAUGCGAACCAAACACACCCUUAAAAUAAUUUAGCGGUAAUCUACAUUAGUAUUUACUACAUGUCAAACUUCCAACAUGCCUUU